Molecule: long non-coding RNA, 259 nt
Filed under: Nicotiana benthamiana
Lineage: Eukaryota; Viridiplantae; Streptophyta; Magnoliopsida; Solanales; Solanaceae
Description: long non-coding RNA (NBEN_LNC016049)
Source: RNAcentral
AGCAUAUUUAUUGACCAAAAUGGCAUAUCUUUUUUUAUUCUUCCUUCCCCCAAUGGAAUGAGCACAACAUCGUACUAAUACCACCAUUAAAAGGAAAAAAAACUAAAAGAAGACAUGCCAAUGUGCAAGUUACAUCAUAGUUUAUGUAUUAUUUCUAACAAAUCUCAUAAAACCUUCAAGGUUUGGAGGUGGUUGUAUUGGCGGUGGUGGAAAUGAAGAUUGUUCAUCACCACUUCCGGGUGAAGAUGUUUCCUGAGCA